UACGAAGGGGGCUAGCGUUGCUCGGAAUCACUGGGCGUAAAGGGCGCGUAGGCGGCCUUCUUAGUCGGACGUGAAAUCCCCAGGCUUAACUUGGGAACUGCGUCCGAUACUGGGAGGCUUGAGUGCGGGAGAGGGAUGUGGAAUUCCAGGUGUAGCGGUGAAAUGCGUAGAUAUCUGGAGGAACACCGGUGGCGAAGGCGGCAUCCUGGACCGACACUGACGCUGAGGCGCGAAAGCUAGGGGAGCAAACGGG
This 253-nucleotide ribosomal RNA is filed under the name uncultured bacterium. RNAcentral describes it as "partial 16S ribosomal RNA". It matches the Rfam family "Bacterial small subunit ribosomal RNA", at positions 524 to 776 of the family's 1533-position model. The record is from RNAcentral.